Vidua chalybeata is the source of this 1550-nucleotide long non-coding RNA. RefSeq lists it as uncharacterized. Lineage: Eukaryota; Metazoa; Chordata; Aves; Passeriformes; Viduidae. The record is from RefSeq and is a predicted model, not a curated record. The transcript is spliced from 2 exons.
GUGGGCCACCGGCACCUGCGUGGGUCGCCCACACCCAGCGUGGGCCAUCGGCACCCAGUGAGAGCCGCCCGCAGCCGACCCGGGUCUUCACCACGGCGACAAGGCAGUGCAGGGGAUCCCCGUCAUGCAGAUGGCAUUUGCCGUGGGCUCGCCACCACAGGGACGAGGUAAAGGAGCCCUCUGUGGGCCAGGAUGCCAUUUAGGUGCGGUCCCCUCAUGGGGACAUGGCAUGGUGGGCCCUCUGUGAUGCAGAUGGGAUUUGAGGGACAAGGAUGGAGUUUGAGGUGGGAUCUCACCCCUGGGGUCCAGACAUGGGCGUCAUCUGAGACCGGGGUGGGGUCUGAAGGGCAGCAAUGGAGCUCAAGGUGGAAUUUCCCCUAUGGGGACAAGGCAAGGGGGUCCUUUGGGAAUGCCAUGGGAGGUGGAGGUGUCCCCAUGGGGUCAAAACAAACGCAUCCUCUGUGCCUAGGAUGAGGUUUGAGAGAGGGUGAUGGGGUUUGCAAUGUGGACCAGGCAUUAAAAGCAGGGAUGGGGCAUUUGGGUUCUCUGUGACCAAGAUGGGGUCUGAUGUGGGGUCCUUCCUUUGGGAAUGAGUCAAAACUGUCCCCUAUGACCAGGAUGAGGUAUUAAGUGGCCUCCCUGCCUUGGGGAAAAAGUGAGGGCGUCCCCUGUGCCCAGGACAGGGCUCGAGGUGGGACUGUGGGGUAUGAGGUAGGGUCUCACCCAUGGGUAAAAGGUGAGGAUGUUCCCUGUGCUCAGGAUGGGGGUUUUGGGGGGACAAGGGAGGGCAAGGCAGGAUCUCCCCCUGGGAUAAGGAUGUCCCCCAUGCUUGGAAUGGCUCCUAGGAGGUGACACUGCCGUAGGCUCUCUGUCCUGGGGCUAGACCAGACCUGCCAUUUACGUCUGUGGCCACACCAAGGCCAGAAGUGCCCCAUGGCAGGGCCACAUGGGGUGUGGCAGUGGCCCCAUGUGGGGGAAGGAGCUGCACGCCGGAGGAGAGCGGCCACCGACAGCGACUGAGAGACAGUGCAGUCACCCAUAAAGUAGAAAGCACUACUAAACAGCACUGCAGGGUGUAGUGUUUCCUACUUUAUGGAUGAGUGUACUGUGGGCUACGGAGAAGAGAGCACGGAGCAGCGCCGGACCCACAAGCCCAUCGGGAGCCGCCGUGGGCCAAGAGUGCCAAUGGGCUCUGCCUGGCUCACAGCACCCACCCAGAGCUUCACCACGCUCCUGGGGAUGCUCUGCUUGUCUCCACGUGUCUCCCUGGCACCUGGCAUGGCCACGUGGGCAGGAGGGGCCAACGCAGUGUCCCAUGAGUGCCACUGAAAGGACCCUCCCAUUGGAGUGAGCCUCGCACUGAGAGGCCAGGUAGGCAGCAAAGCCUCCCAUGUACAUUUUUUCCCCCAUCUUCAUUUUCCAUGUGGUGAAGCCCUGGGAUGAGCUGGGCAGUGGCAGCCACAUGGAGCAUGGGAGGCAAAGUGGAGUUCCUGGUGAUUGCUGGGUUCAGCGGGGUGAGGGACUGCUAAAUAAAACUCUUUUGAUAUUGA